This 407-nucleotide ribosomal RNA is filed under the name Haemophilus influenzae. RNAcentral describes it as "bacterial LSU rRNA". It matches the Rfam family "Bacterial large subunit ribosomal RNA", at positions 2532 to 2925 of the family's 2925-position model. Lineage: Bacteria; Pseudomonadati; Pseudomonadota; Gammaproteobacteria; Pasteurellales; Pasteurellaceae. The record is from RNAcentral.
UCGGCUCAUCACAUCCUGGGGCUGAAGUAGGUCCCAAGGGUAUGGCUGUUCGCCAUUUAAAGUGGUACGCGAGCUGGGUUUAGAACGUCGUGAGACAGUUCGGUCCCUAUCUGCCGUGGGCGUUGGAUGAUUGAUUGGGGCUGCUCCUAGUACGAGAGGACCGGAGUGGACGCAUCACUGGUGUUCCGGUUGUGUCGCCAGACGCAUUGCCGGGUAGCUAAAUGCGGAAGAGAUAAGUGCUGAAAGCAUCUAAGCACGAAACUUGCCAAGAGAUGAGUCAUCCCUGACUUUAAGUCAGUAAGGGUUGUUGUAGACUACGACGUAGAUAGGUCUAGUGUGUAAGUGUAGUGAUACAUUGAGCUAACAGAUACUAAUUGCCCGAGAGGCUUAACUAUACAACGCUCAAG